Molecule: ribosomal RNA, 501 nt
Filed under: uncultured bacterium
Lineage: Bacteria
Description: partial 16S ribosomal RNA
Rfam family: Bacterial small subunit ribosomal RNA
Source: RNAcentral
AUUGAACGCUGGCGGCAUGCUUUACACAUGCAAGUCGAACGGUAACAGGGUGCUUGCACCGCUGACGAGUGGCGAACGGGUGAGUAAUGCGUCGGAACGUGCCGAGUAGUGGGGGAUAACGCAGCGAAAGUUGUGCUAAUACCGCAUACGUACUGAGGUAGAAAGUGGGGGACCUUCGGGCCUCACGCUAUUCGAGCGGCCGACGUCUGAUUAGCUAGUAGGUGAGGUAAAGGCUCACCUAGGCGACGAUCCCUAGCUGGUCUGAGAGGAUGACCAGCCACACUGGAACUGAGACACGGCCCAGACUCCUACGGGAGGCAGCAGUGGGGAAUAUUGGACAAUGGGGGGAACCCUGAUCCAGCCAUGCCGCGUGUGUGAAGAAGGCCUUAUGGUUGUAAAGCACUUUAAGCGAGGAGGAGGCUACUUUAGUUAAUACCUAGAGAUAGUGGACGUUACUCGCAGAAUAAGCACCGGCUAACUCUGUGCCAGCCGCCGCAGUAA